Molecule: transfer RNA, 71 nt
Filed under: Appendiseta robiniae
Lineage: Eukaryota; Metazoa; Arthropoda; Insecta; Hemiptera; Aphididae
Description: tRNA-Cys
Source: RNAcentral
AAACUUUAUAUUCAAAAAUAGAUGAUAUUAAAUUGCAAGUUUAAAGGUAUUAUUUAAUUAAUUAAGGUUUA